RNAcentral lists this ribosomal RNA (224 nucleotides) under bacterium FV-23. RNAcentral's name for it is "partial 16S ribosomal RNA". It matches the Rfam family "Bacterial small subunit ribosomal RNA", at positions 1130 to 1353 of the family's 1533-position model. The record is from RNAcentral.
GGUGGGCACUCUAAGGUGACUGCCGGUGACAAACCGGAGGAAGGUGGGGAUGACGUCAAAUCAUCAUGCCCCUUAUGACCUGGGCUACACACGUACUACAAUGGCCGGUACAACGGGCAGUGAAGCCGCGAGGUGGAACCAAUCCUAAAAAGCCGGUCUCAGUUCGGAUUGCAGGCUGCAACUCGCCUGCAUGAAGUCGGAAUUGCUAGUAAUCGCGGAUCAGC